This 250-nucleotide ribosomal RNA is filed under the name uncultured prokaryote. Its description in RNAcentral is "partial 16S ribosomal RNA". It matches the Rfam family "Bacterial small subunit ribosomal RNA", at positions 524 to 773 of the family's 1533-position model. The record is from RNAcentral.
UACGUAGGGUCCAAGCGUUAUCCGGAUUUACUGGGUGUAAAGGGCGAGUAGACGGCGCUGUAAGUCAGCUGUGAAAACUUAGGGCUCAACCUUAAGACUGCAGCUGAAACUGUAGUGCUAGAGUGCAGGAGAGGUAAGCGGAAUUCCUAGUGUAGCGGUGAAAUGCGUAGAUAUUAGGAGGAACACCAGUGGCGAAGGCGGCUUACUGGACUGUAACUGACGUUGAGGCGCGAAAGUGUGGGGAGCAAAC